GACCCCCGUUCGUGCCCCCUCCGCUCCUCCCAGUCGUUGGCCAUGAGUUCCUCUGCCAAGAUGAGCAGCCCCUUUUGAUUUUUUUGCCAAACAUUCAUCCAGAUUUGCUAUGAACUUCUGCUGAUGCAUGAUGUUUUCCUAUUGAUAUGCUAUGUGGUGGUGAAUAUAUAUGGUGCUGCUGCUGCAUAUAUACUUGUCAUGUGCUGCUAGACAUACAUAAAUACAUGACCAAAACGAGAUUUUGUUGGCUGUUAUGGUUUGCAAAGUCUGUCCAGUUUGCAAAGUCUCGUGUACAUUCAUGUUUUCAUUCACAGUAGUAAGUUCUCACUAAGUAUUGUAUUCGCCUCUGGAUGCUAGCAUUGUAUUUCCAUAGAGGAAAAAUUGAUGGUUCUGUGUAAGAUCUUUCAUACUCGUACUCGUACUUGAGAUAAUGAUGCAUGUAUGAUGUGAGAUAAUGAUGCAUUUAUGAUAUUCGUAUGUCAGGCAAUGAUCUUUAUUAUGUUUGAUUGUAACAUAUCGUGGUGUUUUGAAGUCGAAUUUGUGUUCAUUUGAGUAGCAAAAUGAUAAAAAUAACACAAUAUCAUUUAAUCAGGACAACCAUAUAGUCCAAGGGCAUGACAGACUUUUCACUGACCAUACAACAGAUAAGCUGAAAAAACAGGCACUGAAAAGAACUGACUAGCUUAUUAUAUGGAGCUUAUUUCCACAGGAGCUUAUCUAGAGCUUAUUUUCACAGCAUAGCUCAAAAGAACUGGCCCUUAGUCAGCAGGAAGCAGUCAUUGCGGACGCGUCACGUCCUCUUCCCCUUGGCGUCGUCCUCCUCCGGACCCCUCCACCUCGACACCCCAGCCAGCCUCGCACUCGCAUUCGCACUGCUCCAGAACCCCUGACCCGCUCCCUUCCCUUGACGCGUGCAGCACAAAUAGCAGUGGGGCAUUUCAUUAAAGGAAGGCCAUGAUUUCCCACAAGGAUAGGGCUCAAAAGGCGUAUGAGGCCAUGGGGCGUCUCGGCUUCCCCAAGAAGCAGGUUUCGCCAGUCCUGAAGCACCUCUACAAGCUCUUCGAAAACUGGGAACCCAUCGAGGACGAGAGCUACCGCAUCCUUGCUGACACCAUCCUGGAUAGCCAAAAGAAUCAACAAAUGCCUGCCACUAGCCGUCAUGUGACAGACCAAGAGUCCGAGCCUCACAACUCAACGUCGGUCACACCAGAUCCAGAUGACCAACACCCUUCUGCUGCUCGGUAUGACAUGGAUGUUAGUGAUAAUGAAACCUCCCUCAUCAACAGACCCAUGGAUGUCAGUGAAAAUCCCCAAGAUGCUCUCUUUUUACAAGAGCCCAAGCCUGAACCUGAAAUUGAUGUUCCAGCUGCUCCUGUUGCCAACGACCUCAAUACUGGGUCUUCAGGUGGAGACAACAUGCUAAUUGAACAUUGUAAAACAAGGGAUAUGCUGACAUGGGGUUCUGAUGCUAGAGCUAGCAUAGUUAACCACGAUCAAAAUCCGGACAGCAGCCAACAUGCAGUCAAGGAUGGGGUAGAGUCUACUGUUCAAAAUACUCACCAGGCAUCUUUUGUUGAACUUGAUGUAGCUUCAUCCACUCUGGGUGAGGUGAAGGUGUCAUUGAAAUGCAAAUUUGACCCUUCAGAGGUCUGCAUUAGUUUGGACAAGGUCUUCAAAAUAGUUGAGGAUAAUUGUCUCCGCUCAUACAAGACCCUACCUCCUGAUUUUUCUGUUGGCCAGCUGAUGAAUGAGAUAUGCCAAUAUGUUGCAGAGUCACGUGCUGUGCAUUCUGAAGCUCAAAACAAUGGUGGCAGCUUGCAAGAACAGGCUUUGGAGACGUAUGCUCCCUUUGUGAAGCCAAUUGCUUGUAAGCAUGCUGUUGAUGGGAAUGGUAAUACUGCCGUAGGAUCAUCCUUGGAACCUAGCUUUCAAAAUUGGGUAGUUGCUUAUCAGCCUCAGGAAGCACUUUUUAAGCAAAGGCCACUGCAUGAUGUUGCUGACAUAACGAAGGGAGAAGAAAGGGUUAGAAUACCUAUCGUAAACGAAUUUGGUAGUGAUAGUUGUCCGCCAUUGUUCUAUUACAUAAGAAAGAAUCUCAUUUUCCAAAGUGCUUAUGUCAACACCUCACUUGCGCGGAUUGGUGAUGAGGAUUGCUGCGCAGAUUGUUCAGGCAACUGCUUAUUAGAAUCACAUCCAUGUGCAUGUGCAAGAUCAACUGGAGGUGAGAUUGCAUACACACCGGAGGGCCUGGUCAGGGCAGAAUUAAUUGAUGAGUGCAUUGCUGUUAAUCACUUCCCAGAAAAGGAUAAUAAGUUCUACUGUAAAGCUUGUCCUCUUGAAAUAUAUAAGACAAAGCCCUCACCAGAUCCAUGUAAAGGUCAUCUUGCUAGAAAAUUCAUUAAGGAGUGUUGGAGUAAAUGUGGCUGUGGCAUGCAGUGUGGAAAUCGUGUGAUUCAGCGUGGGAUAACAUGCAAUCUCCAGGUGUUUUUCACAAAUGAAGGGAAGGGCUGGGGGCUACGGACGCUGGAUGGGCUGCCAAAAGGUGCUUUCAUCUGUGAAUUAGUUGGGGAGGUACUAACAAGUUCUGAACUACAUGAGAGAAAAGCCAAAAAUUCUAAGCAUGUGGAUCAAGUGCUCCUAGAUGCUAGUUGGGGUUCUGAAGGGGUGCUAAGAGACGAGGAAGCUCUCUGCGUUGAUCCGACAUUUUAUGGGAAUGUCGGGCGAUUUGUCAACCAUAGAUGCUAUGAUGCAAAUUUGGUAAUCAUACCUGUUGAAGUCGAGACUCCUGAUCGCCAUUAUUACCAUCUUGCAUUAUUCACUGCCAAGAAAAUAGAGGCUUUUGAGGAGUUAACGCGGGAUUAUGGCAUCGAUUUUGAUGGUACUGAUGACCUCAAUAAAGCAUUUGACUGCAUGUGCGGAAGCAAGUACUGUCGCGGCGGUCCGAAUAAUUCAAGGAAGAGGACUAGGGCAAGUGCAAGUCAGUACUAGAGGAUUAUGGCAUCGAUUUUGAUGGUACUGAUGACCUCAAUAAAGCAUUUGACUGCAUGUGCGGAAGCAAGUACUGUCGCGGCGGUCCGAAGAAUUCAAGGAAGAGGACUAGGGCAAGUGCAAGUCAGAACUAGAGGUAUUUGCAUUCGGUCAAGAGCGGUGGAAGAAGAGUGUUGGCAGGAACAGGGCGUAGAUAGAUGCAAGGGGCGGUGUCAGCCAGUCAUAUUUUGGGGUUUGGAUGUAGUAAAACCAACUAAAAAUGCCUGAUGCAGAGCAAGUGGGACUUAAUUAGUAUGUGUGUUGUCAGUCUGUCACUGUGUGUGCGUCCGGAGUUUACCUAGCAAUUGCAGUUAACUUGCUUCACUGCCCGAGCUUAUUCUGCAUCUUUUUUUUCUCUC
This is an RNA transcript of Triticum dicoccoides, 3386 nucleotides long. It is a transcript of the gene named histone-lysine N-methyltransferase SUVR4-like, with no coding region annotated. Lineage: Eukaryota; Viridiplantae; Streptophyta; Magnoliopsida; Poales; Poaceae. The record is from RefSeq and is a predicted model, not a curated record. The transcript has 11 exons.